GAGGGUAUAGCUCAACUGGUAGAGUGCAUGCUUAGCAUGCAUGAGGUCUUGGGUUCAAUCCCCAGUACCUCCU
This 73-nucleotide transfer RNA is filed under the name Camelus bactrianus (Bactrian camel). It matches the Rfam family "tRNA". From Rfam's summary of the family: Transfer RNA (tRNA) molecules are approximately 80 nucleotides in length. Their secondary structure includes four short double-helical elements and three loops (D, anti-codon, and T loops). RNAcentral also lists the same sequence under 2 other names. Lineage: Eukaryota; Metazoa; Chordata; Mammalia; Artiodactyla; Camelidae. The record is from Rfam by way of RNAcentral.